Cyanistes caeruleus (blue tit) is the source of this 1865-nucleotide long non-coding RNA. The record is from Ensembl. Lineage: Eukaryota; Metazoa; Chordata; Aves; Passeriformes; Paridae.
AGCCCGGCCGGCUCCCCGGCCGCGAUCCGGAGCGAUGGGGAGCGCCUGGAAAACCCUCGGCUCCACUUUUCCCCGCAGCGGUCUCGCGUGGGCGCAGCCUUCCAGCCAAAACCAAAACACCACCAGCGAUGCGAUUUNGGGGGGGAGUUAAAUUAGGGAAAAGUAGAGGGGAAAGAGGGAAAGGAGGAAGGCUGGCUCGACCCUCCCACCCCACGCGUGUCUGCACCCCCUACAGCCGUGACCGAGAGGGCUUAAAGGAGAGGGGUGGGCAUUAUCCACUGCAGCCCCGUUAGUGCUGCCCAAAGUGGGAGCAGACCCCAAGCAGCACCCACAAAAUUCCCCCUCCCCGGUGGUUUUUUAUCGCUCUCCCCCGUUUUUCCCGUGUGGGGAAGCGGGAGGAGCUGGAAGCACAGUGGGGUGAGCCGCUGGGGACUGGGAAUGCCGUCGGUCUGGAUGGGGAGGGAUGUCCCAGAGCGGUGGGAAAUGUUGGGGGAAAGGGGUGCUUUACUUCAUGUCGGGUUGGUUUCGCACUUGGGGAAAUUUGGGGGAUUUUGGGGUGGGUUUGGGCCUUGGGAUGCCAUUGGGGCCUUGCGGGUGGCAAUGGCAAUGGCAAGACCCCAAAACCCGCUUGUGGAAAGGGGUCAGGGUGAAACCCCUUCCCCAAGGAGGGUCCGGGAAAGGGGGGGAGAUGAGUUGAGGUGAUGUUUUCUCUGGAAAUCAUGGAAGCAGCCUCUGGGAACAGCCCGGUCUGGUGGAAGGUGUCCCUGCCCACGGCAGGAGGGUCAGGACUGGAUGGGCCUUAAGGUCUUUUCCAACCCAACCCAUCCUGGAGCUGUAGGAUUCCAUGAACACCACCUCAGGGCAGGAGAAGGGCUGGAUGGAGCACGGAGCGGGGAAUUACGGCCGGAGACAGAACUCUUGGGACUGCUUUAGGUUUCAGCAGCAGAUUCCCCCGGCUGAACCCCUCGGCUGGGCUGAAUUUAGCAGCAGAAGAGAUAACCAGCAGAUAAGGACUGAUACCCUGGGAGGACAGCGGCAGACAAUGGGCGGCCGGGCAAGGGGAGAGAAGCCGGAGGCAGCGUUGGGAAGGGGAAAAAAGCUACAAAAGCGAUUCCCGUGGAUUGUUUGGCGUGAAGAGUGGCCGGAUCCAGCCCUUUCUGCAGGGAAUUAUCGGCCGGAGGGGCCGGGAAUGGCAGGGACGAGCAUCCCAAGAGCCGGCAGGGAGAGGAUGGAUUUAGGACACAUUUAGGAUUUUCUCCCGGAAAAAGCAGACGGGACACAGCAAAACCCAGCGGCAAAAAAAAAAAAACAACCCAAAACUAAACCCAAAACUGUGUUCUGCACGCGGUGGAGACUUUUUUUUUUCCUUGCGAUUAACGAAAUCUGUGUGAAAAUAACCCAGGGGAACAAACUUUGGCCUUGCCUCUCUCCUUUCCAGCCUUCAGUUCUGCCCCAGGCAGGAAAAAAGUCGAUACGAAAAUAUGCCUAUUUUUAGGGCUUUUCUUGUGGUGUUUUUUGGGGUUUUUUUAAAUAAUUUUUUCCCCCCGUAUCGAACUUACUUCCGCGGUGGUUUUAGAGUUAAAGCUCCGGGUGUUGAUGCAUGGGAAAAAAAAAAAAAAACAAACCAAAAAACAACCAAACCUCCCCCCAAAAAAACCCCAAAACACUUUAGAAACUAGUGGCGGGGUGGAAGGAGGGGAAGAGGGGAGAAAGUUAAUUUAAAUUUCUAUCUGCGCUAAAAAUUGAUUUUUUAAAAAGUCACGAAGAAAAAUGGUUGAAAAUAAGUGGAAAAAUCAGCGGGGCAAAUGUGAUUUUAGGAGGGCAAAAAAGAAUAAAAGCGGCCGGCGGCUGCUGCGUGUUGGACA